GACGUAGGAGGCAAGCGUUGUCCGGAUUCAUUGGGCGUAAAGAGCGCGCAGGCGGCUUGGUAAGUCGGAUGUGAAAUCCCGAGGCUCAACCUCGGGUCUGCAUCCGAUACUGCCCGGCUAGAGGUAGGUAGGGGAGAUCGGAAUUCCUGGUGUAGCGGUGAAAUGCGCAGAUAUCAGGAGGAACACCGGUGGCGAAGGCGGCUCACUGGACCGGUACUGACGCUGAGGCGCGAAAGCGUGGGGAGCAAACAGG
Molecule: ribosomal RNA, 253 nt
Filed under: uncultured bacterium
Lineage: Bacteria
Description: partial 16S ribosomal RNA
Rfam family: Bacterial small subunit ribosomal RNA
Source: RNAcentral